UACGGAGGAUGCGAGCGUUAUCCGGAUUUAUUGGGUUUAAAGGGUGCGUAGGCGGACUGCCAAGUCAGCGGUAAAAUUGCGGGGCUCAACCCCGUCGAGCCGUUGAAACUGGUGGUCUUGAGUGGGCGAGAAGUACGCGGAAUGUGUGGUGUAGCGGUGAAAUGCAUAGAUAUCACGCAGAACUCCGAUUGCGAAGGCAGCGUACCGGCGCCCUACUGACGCUGAAGCACGAAAGCGUGGGUAUCGAACAGG
Molecule: ribosomal RNA, 252 nt
Filed under: uncultured bacterium
Lineage: Bacteria
Description: partial 16S ribosomal RNA
Rfam family: Bacterial small subunit ribosomal RNA
Source: RNAcentral